UACGUAGGGGGCGAGCGUUAUCCGGAUUUACUGGGUGUAAAGGGAGCGUAGACGGUUAUGCAAGUCAGAAGUGAAAGCCCAAAGCUCAACUUCGGGACUGCUUUUGAAACUGUGUAACUAGAGUGCAGGAGGGGUAAGCGGAAUUCCUAGUGUAGCGGUGAAAUGCGUAGAUAUUAGGAGGAACACCGGCGGCGAAGGCGGCUUACUGGACUGUAACUGACGUUGAGGCUCGAAAGCGUGGGGAGCAAACAGG
Molecule: ribosomal RNA, 253 nt
Filed under: uncultured bacterium
Lineage: Bacteria
Description: partial 16S ribosomal RNA
Rfam family: Bacterial small subunit ribosomal RNA
Source: RNAcentral